This 246-nucleotide long non-coding RNA is filed under the name Hordeum vulgare. Its description in RNAcentral is "long non-coding RNA (HVUL_LNC019488)". The record is from RNAcentral. Lineage: Eukaryota; Viridiplantae; Streptophyta; Magnoliopsida; Poales; Poaceae.
CUCUUCUUCUACAUAGCAUAGACUCAUCCAAGAAAGGCUAAAUAGGCUAAUUAUCCUACGAAAUGACAUAAUUAGCUUAGUUAGCUCCAAAAUGACCUAUACUUAGCUAAUUAUCCUCGAAAUGACAUAAUUAGCUCCAAAAAGGCAUUCUUAGCCAAUUUAGCCCGAAGAAGGGGACAAGAAGAGAAAAAGAGGAAAAAUGAAAGGAAGGAAGAGGAAGAAGAGGAGAAGAAGAAGGAGGAGAGG